Non-coding RNA from Triticum aestivum (bread wheat), 115 nucleotides. Lineage: Eukaryota; Viridiplantae; Streptophyta; Magnoliopsida; Poales; Poaceae. The record is from Rfam.
CGCCCUCUCCCUCCGUUCCGAAUUACUUGUGGAAGGUAUGGAUGUAUCUAGAUGUAUUUUAGUUCUAGAUACAUCCAUUUCUUUGACGAGUAAUUUGGAACGAAGGGAGUAGUUU